AGGGGUUUAGCUCAGCAGUUCAAGCACUUGUCUGGUAAGCAUGAGGUCAUGAGUUCAAACCUUGUACCCUUC
Molecule: transfer RNA, 72 nt
Filed under: Cavia porcellus (domestic guinea pig)
Lineage: Eukaryota; Metazoa; Chordata; Mammalia; Rodentia; Caviidae
Rfam family: tRNA
About the family: Transfer RNA (tRNA) molecules are approximately 80 nucleotides in length.
Source: Rfam by way of RNAcentral